Molecule: long non-coding RNA, 1401 nt
Organism: Rhododendron vialii
Lineage: Eukaryota; Viridiplantae; Streptophyta; Magnoliopsida; Ericales; Ericaceae
Exons: 2
Source: RefSeq, a predicted model, not a curated record
UUGUAUCCAUGGGAAAGGGUUUUAGAGGUUGGAGUUGGGUUUUAUUCCAGAAAAUUCGUGCAUCUAUUGGUUAUGCAAAACUGAGUUUUAAGCAAAGUUAAAUCUGUUCUUUUUUUGACGAAUUUUUCUCAUCGACAUGCUGACCAUGUUAUUUUCUGGUAUUUUUACUGUAGAUGCCUCUAUGUGUGUAGCUUAUGCUGUAAAAAGUUUAGAAUUUUCUGAGAAGUGUGGAAAAAGAUAAAAAUCGUAAACCGAGCUGCUGUCAGAUUCGCGUAUGGGCAGACAGCACAGACACGUUUUGAGAAAUUGGACAUAUCUCCUAGCUCGGGUAUCAGUUUUACGCACCGUUUCUUGAUUCUGAAACUAAACUUACAUACCUUUCUGAGUAUGUAAGGUUUGUGCCUUAGUUCCUUCUAGGAAAAAUCAGUUUUUGUUCUGAAGUUGGUGGUUUGGUAAUUCUGGAAAUCUGGGCAGCUUUGGAGCUAUGUUUUUCAUCAAUUUUAUCAUAGUUGAGUAUGUUGAUGACUAUGGGUUCUUAUGAGUCUUAAACAUUGAUCAAUUGGUGAUGUUUUGGCGCAAGAAUCAUUGAAAAAUAUUAAGUGUACGAUUUUUAGUGAUCUUUCGAUCACAGACAGUUCUGCUGAAUUUCGUAUUUGCUGUAUCGACACAUUUUGGAGGAAUAGGCAUAUCUCUUAGCACGUGUAUCGGAUUUGUGAACCAGUUUUUGAUUUGGAAACUAGACUCUUAUACCUUUCAGAACAUGUAGGGUUUGUACCUUCAAAUUUCGUAGGUAAACUCAGCUUUUGGGUCGAAGUUGGUUGAUCUGCAGAAACUGCAGAUUUGUGUUUCUAAUUGUGCAUCUUCGGUCGGUCAUAACUUUGUCAUUUGAAAUCUAUUUGGGACAAAUUUUAUAUCGAAAUUGAUGUACUCAGAACGUACUUUCCAUUGGUGGUGGUCUCAUGACCUAAUUCUAAGCCAAUUAAAAGUUACAGCCAGGAUAAGGCAGGCUGAUCAUAAGUUUAUAAACUGAUUUCAAGGAUUAUCUCAUAUUUGAACUUUAUGCUUGUUUUGGGACACUUCUAGGUGUUAACUUGGACAUAUUAGUAUUUGUUGGUCAUUGUUUAGCUUCUUGUUAGCUUUAUAACUUUGUGCCGAGUGGUUGUUGAGUUCGUGACUAAUAUGAGUUAACUUGUAGCUAGGUAAAGAGCCGGUCAUUCGGGUGGUGCCAAAACCUUAAUUUGGCAUACUUCGGUCGACACAAAGGUCAUAGGUGGUCGUAGAGUUGGUCCACUACCGGUCGACGUUUUGGAGACACCUGGAUUAGUAUCGAGUGUUGGUGUUUGUUGUCGAGUUGGUUGUAAAGGGUCAAGCUUUGAUUUUUGCUAAAACUCAUUUUGUGAC